UUGUUCAAAACUAUUUUUCGAUGUCCCAUGCCAUAUCAGAAAAAUAGUGCAUGUUUUCUUGCCUGAAAUGGAGAAAACUCUCCAAAUUGCUUUUAAAUAAUGUCCAAUCUCAGGCCAAUAAGCACUGUAUUAAGUAGUAACAGACUGUGAGGAGACAGAGAGAGACAGAGACUCAGAGACAGAGACAGAGAUUCUAGAAUAUGCAAAGACAACAAAUUCCAGAAGGCUAUUACAAAAUGGAAGCAAGAACUAACGUCUGCCAAGUCCUGAUUGAGGAGCCUGAAGAUAUCCACACUGAGCAUUGAUCUGUGCAUCAGUAAGUCUGGAUCUAAAGAGGAAGAUCCACACUGGAGCACAGGUCUUCUACAAUGUAGUCAUCGUGCCCUGUGUGGGGGCCACCAUGGGAUGGGCCCCAAGAACAUGGUGUGAACAACAACAGCAAAAAUGGUCUUGACCUCAGAGAGUUCAGGUCUACUCUGAUGGGAAAGAAAAUAUUACACAGUGCCCACCUUUCCGAUGGAGCUGAAGGAGACGGAGUCAGAGGGACUUAAAACAGUAACAACAACAACAAAGUGACAUGGAAUCCAUGAAAGGGAGUGUGACAGAUAAGCAACUUUUCAACUGUAUUCGCAUUUAUAGAGUGUUUUAGGAAGGGAGGCCACUUAAGAGAAGUCAUAAUUAUCAGCCCAUUCUUGAUCCUAUCUCCAACACAAUUCCCAUCCCUCGAGUGAGG
This 733-nucleotide long non-coding RNA is filed under the name Homo sapiens (human). Its description in RNAcentral is "HSALNT0393992". Lineage: Eukaryota; Metazoa; Chordata; Mammalia; Primates; Hominidae. The record is from RNAcentral.